UCGUAGUUAAGCGGUAACAACACAUGCCUCUCACUCCUGAGACCCGGGUUCGAUCCUCGGUGGAGGAG
This is a non-coding RNA of Rhamnusium bicolor, 68 nucleotides long. NCBI's taxonomy places the organism in Eukaryota, Metazoa, Arthropoda, Insecta, Coleoptera, Cerambycidae. The record is from the annotation of a GenBank genome assembly.